RNAcentral lists this transfer RNA (69 nucleotides) under Neotoma lepida (desert woodrat). It matches the Rfam family "tRNA". Rfam says of the family: Transfer RNA (tRNA) molecules are approximately 80 nucleotides in length. The record is from Rfam by way of RNAcentral. Lineage: Eukaryota; Metazoa; Chordata; Mammalia; Rodentia; Cricetidae.
GGGGAUGUAGCUCAGUGGUAGAGCGCAUGCCUAGCAUACAUAAGGCCCUGCGUUCAAUCCCCAGCACCA